GGCUCAGAGUGAACGCUGGCGGCGUGCUUAACACAUGCAAGUCGAACGGUAACAGGAACUAGCUUGCUAGUUUGCUGACGAGUGGCGCACCGGGUGAGUAAUAUAUAGUUAAUGUACCCCAAAGACUGGGAUAGCCACUGGAAACGGUGAUUAAUACUAGAUACACCUCUUUAACAUAAGUUAGAGAGGGAAAUGUCUUUUCGCUUUGGGAUCAGACUAUAUCCUAUCAGUUAGUUGGUGAGGUAAUGGCUCACCAAGGCAAUGACGGGUAGCGGGUUUGAGAGGAUGAUCCGCCACACUGGUACUGAGACACGGACCAGACUCCUACGGGAGGCAGCAGUGAGGAAUAUUGCACAAUGGAGGAAACUCUGAUGCAGCAACGCCGCGUGGAGGAUGACGCAUUUCGGUGUGUAAACUCCUUUUAUAUGUCAAGAAAAUGACGGUAGCAUAUGAAUAAGCACCGGCUAACUCCGUG
RNAcentral lists this ribosomal RNA (475 nucleotides) under uncultured bacterium. Its description in RNAcentral is "bacterial SSU rRNA". It matches the Rfam family "Bacterial small subunit ribosomal RNA", at positions 21 to 507 of the family's 1533-position model. The record is from RNAcentral.